Nerophis ophidion (straightnose pipefish) is the source of this 799-nucleotide long non-coding RNA. RefSeq lists it as uncharacterized. The transcript has 2 exons. The record is from RefSeq and is a predicted model, not a curated record. NCBI's taxonomy places the organism in Eukaryota, Metazoa, Chordata, Actinopteri, Syngnathiformes, Syngnathidae.
UAUUGUUGAGUGUUCAAUGUGAUUUGACUAUUUAGUUGAUAUUGUUGGAGUGUUUUCCACGCUUGUGUUGACAUUUCCUUUCUGCCUUGACAGCUGAGGGAUUCUAAUCAGAGAUGUUGUGGCCAUUUGUAUUGAUGUGAUGAAGGAGGUCUGAGAGAUGAAGACCAGUCACAUUUAUUGUUGUGAUGAAGGAGGUCUGAGAGAUGAAGACCAGUCACAUUUAUUGAUGUGAUGAAGGAGGUCUGAGAGAUGAAGACCAGUCACAUUUAUUGUUGUGAUGAAGGAGGUCUGAGAGAUGAAGACCAGUCACAUUUAUUGCUGUGUGGAGGAGGUCACACUUUCACUUCAACUCUUCUGUCAGCCUGCCAAAAAGCACCUUUGACGUCACCUUUGUCUCCGAAUAGAAAAAAAACACGCUGGUCAUCACACGUACUUGACUUUCUAGAAGAUUGGAAUCGCUGUGAGUUAGUUUGUGAGGCAAAGCUGGAAGAAAAGAAUGCAGCCUGGUGGUGGAAAACACAGAAAUAUGUUGUGGAGAUAAGUUCAGUUCCUGCUCUUUUAACAGCAUUUCACAAUUACUGGUGCACAAAAAAACAACAAUUCUAAUUCAUCCCGAUUGAUAAUUUUCAAGGAUCAAUGACAUUUUUAAAAAUGUCUUUUUAGGCCAUCUCCUUGAAACUGCUUUUGAAAACGUUUCAUUAUAAUUAUCAUACCAAACAAUACAUUGUGAAAAUCUGUUUGAACCGAAAUCGCCUCCCACCCAACAAACAAUGCACCGAUUUUUUAAUCGAUUUAAAAA